GUGCCAGCCGCCGCGGUAAUACGGAGAGUGCAAGCGUUGUUCGGAAUUAUUGGGCGUAAAGCGCGUGUAGGCGGCUUGAUAAGUCUGGCGUGAAAGCCUGAAGCUCAACUUCAGAAGUGCGCUGGAAACUAUCGAGCUUGAGUACUGGAGGGGGAAGGGGAAUUCUCGGGUGUAGAGGUGAAAUUCGUAGAUAUCCGGAAGAACAUCAGUGGCGAAGGCGCCUUCCUGGACAGAUACUGACGCUGAGACGCGAAAGCGUGGGGAGCAAACAGGAUUAGAAACCCCCGUAGUCC
Molecule: ribosomal RNA, 293 nt
Filed under: uncultured bacterium
Lineage: Bacteria
Description: partial 16S ribosomal RNA
Rfam family: Bacterial small subunit ribosomal RNA
Source: RNAcentral